AGAGUUUGAUCAUGGCUCAGAUUGAACGCUGGCGGCAGGCCUAACACAUGCAAGUCGAACGGUAACAGAAAGCAGCUUGCUGCUUUGCUGACGAGUGGCGGACGGGUGAGUAAUGUCUGGGAAACUGCCUGAUGAGGGGGAUAACUACUGGAAACGGUAGCUAAUACCGCAUAACGUCGCAAGACCAAAGAGGGGGACCUUCGGGCCUCUUGCCAUCGGAUGUGCCCAGAUGGGAUUAGCUUGUUGGUGGGGUAACGGCUCACCAAGGCGACGAUCCCUAGCUGGUCUGAGAGGAUGACCAGCCACACUGGAACUGAGACACGGUCCAGACUCCUACGGGAGGCAGCAGUGGGGAAUAUUGCACAAUGGGCGCAAGCCUGAUGCAGCCAUGCCGCGUGUAUGAAGAAGGCCUUCGGGUUGUAAAGUACUUUCAGCGGGGAGGAAGGGAGUAAAGUUAAUACCUUUGCUCAUUGACGUUACCCGCAGAAGAAGCACCGGCUAACUCCGUGCCAGCAGCCGCGGUAAUACGGAGGGUGCAAGCGUUAAUCGGAAUUACUGGGCGUAAAGCGCACGCAGGCGGUUUGUUAAGUCAGAUGUGAAAUCCCCGGGCUCAACCUGGGAACUGCAUCUGAUACUGGCAAGCUUGAGUCUCGUAGAGGGGGGUAGAAUUCCAGGUGUAGCGGUGAAAUGCGUAGAGAUCUGGAGGAAUACCGGUGGCGAAGGCGGCCCCCUGGACGAAGACUGACGCUCAGGUGCGAAAGCGUGGGGAGCAAACAGGAUUAGAUACCCUGGUAGUCCACGCCGUAAACGAUGUCGACUUGGAGGUUGUGCCCUUGAGGCGUGGCUUCCGGAGCUAACGCGUUAAGUCGACCGCCUGGGGAGUACGGCCGCAAGGUUAAAACUCAAAUGAAUUGACGGGGGCCCGCACAAGCGGUGGAGCAUGUGGUUUAAUUCGAUGCAACGCGAAGAACCUUACCUGGUCUUGACAUCCACGGAAGUUUUCAGAGAUGAGAAUGUGCCUUCGGGAACCGUGAGACAGGUGCUGCAUGGCUGUCGUCAGCUCGUGUUGUGAAAUGUUGGGUUAAGUCCCGCAACGAGCGCAACCCUUAUCCUUUGUUGCCAGCGGUCCGGCCGGGAACUCAAAGGAGACUGCCAGUGAUAAACUGGAGGAAGGUGGGGAUGACGUCAAGUCAUCAUGGCCCUUACGACCAGGGCUACACACGUGCUACAAUGGCGCAUACAAAGAGAAGCGACCUCGCGAGAGCAAGCGGACCUCAUAAAGUGCGUCGUAGUCCGGAUUGGAGUCUGCAACUCGACUCCAUGAAGUCGGAAUCGCUAGUAAUCGUGGAUCAGAAUGCCACGGUGAAUACGUUCCCGGGCCUUGUACACACCGCCCGUCACACCAUGGGAGUGGGUUGCAAAAGAAGUAGGUAGCUUAACCUUCGGGAGGGCGCUUACCACUUUGUGAUUCAUGACCGGGGUGAAGUCGUAACAAGGUAACCGUAGGGGAGCCUGCGGUUGGAUCACCU
RNAcentral lists this ribosomal RNA (1529 nucleotides) under Escherichia coli STEC_94C. Its description in RNAcentral is "bacterial SSU rRNA". It matches the Rfam family "Bacterial small subunit ribosomal RNA". Lineage: Bacteria; Pseudomonadati; Pseudomonadota; Gammaproteobacteria; Enterobacterales; Enterobacteriaceae. The record is from RNAcentral.